This 92-nucleotide small RNA is filed under the name Escherichia coli. Its description in RNAcentral is "partial RtT sRNA". It matches the Rfam family "RtT RNA", at positions 1 to 90 of the family's 130-position model. From Rfam's summary of the family: This family represents a bacterial cis-regulatory element known as RtT RNA. The exact function of RtT is unknown although it is thought that it may be involved in changing the cellular response in relation to amino acid starvation. Lineage: Bacteria; Pseudomonadati; Pseudomonadota; Gammaproteobacteria; Enterobacterales; Enterobacteriaceae. The record is from RNAcentral.
AUUCUGCCCAAGCGGGGAAGGAUGAGAAGCUUCGACUAAGGUUCGACUCGAGCGCCAGCGAGAGAGCGUUGCCGCAGGCAACGACCCGAAGG